RNAcentral lists this long non-coding RNA (1205 nucleotides) under Sus scrofa (pig). Its description in RNAcentral is "lncRNA (ENSSSCG00050011959.1)". Lineage: Eukaryota; Metazoa; Chordata; Mammalia; Artiodactyla; Suidae. The record is from RNAcentral.
GGAAGAAAUGAGACCUUAUUAGUGUGCAUUAUGAAAAAAGUCCUUGUUAGUCUGUGGGUAUAGAGACUUAGCAUGGAUUAUGGUCUAAGUAUUAAAAACACACUUAGGGUUAAUAAGUUUUUAUGGCAAAGCAUUCAAUAUUUUUUAAAGAAAAAAGCAAUACUAAUUUUUGUGUACUUUAAUUCCUUUGAAAUGCUCUUGCUAUAACUGCAAAGUUGAAUCUCAUAUAAAUAAAUAGUUGUAUUAUAGUGCUCUUUUUAAAUUUAUCAUCAUUGACUGAUAUGUGUGCAAGACUUAACUGUCUUAUAACACUCAGAGUAAAGAAAAAGUAGGUUGCUUAAAACAAGUCAACAAAGAAGUUUUUAGAUUAGUAUAGAUGCAGACACCUUUCUUGUGUGAUUCAUAUGAUUUAUUAUUUUUGGGGGCCAUACUCACAGCAUGUGGAAAUUCCCAGGCUAGGGGUCUAAUCGGAGCUGUAGCCACUGGCCUACGCCAGAGCCACAGCAACGCGGGAUCCGAGCCGCGUCUGCAACCUACACCACAGCUCACGGCAACGCCGGAUCGUUAACCCACUGAGCAAGGGCAGGGACCGAACCCGCAACCUCAUGGUUCCUAGUGGGAUUCGUUAACCACUGCGCCACGACGGGAACUCCAAUAGUGGUUUUUAUACAAGUUUUCCAGUGGGCAGUUGUGGAUGCUGUUGAAAUAAAUUGAGAAGUAGAACAUCUAAGCAGAGACAGAGAAGAUAUAAAAAAGAUACAGAUUUGUUCGAACUGGAAAAAAUGCAGUAAGAGGGGAGAAAAAAAACCACCGAGAACUAUUAGAGAAGUAACAAAAUGUUAGACUUUUUAAGACAUUUUGAGAAAGAUUGUGGUGCUGAAAAAUAUUUGCGUAAUGCCUUAAAACAUCACAAAUUUAAUGAAAGGUUUAAAUACAUACAAAUUCCGGGAGUUCUCACUGUGGCUCACAGGUUAAGGACCAGACUUAGUCCUUGUAAAGAUGUGGGUUCAUUCCCUGGCCUUGCUCAGUGGGUUAAUAAGGAUCUGGCAUUACCACAAACUGAAGCAUAGCUCACAGAUGUGUCUUGGAUCUGGUGUGGCUGUGGCAUAGAUGUAUAGCUAUAGCUCUGAUUCGACCCCUAGCCCAGGAACUUCCACAUGCCACAGGUGCAGCCAUAGAAAGAAAAAAGAAAAAGAAAGAAAAAA